This 518-nucleotide ribosomal RNA is filed under the name uncultured bacterium. RNAcentral describes it as "partial 16S ribosomal RNA". It matches the Rfam family "Bacterial small subunit ribosomal RNA", at positions 28 to 523 of the family's 1533-position model. The record is from RNAcentral.
GACGAACGCUGGCGGCGUGCUUAACACAUGCAAGUCGAACGGAGGAUUUAUUUCGGUAAAUCCUUAGUGGCGAACGGGUGAGUAACGCGUGGGCAAUCUGCCCUUCAGAUGGGGACAACAUCCCGAAAGGGGUGCUAAUACCGAAUACGAUCGUGUUCCCGCAUGGGAUUACGAUGAAAGAUGGCCUCUAUUUAUAAGCUAUCGCUGAAGGAUGAGCCUGCGUCUGAUUAGCGAGUUGGUGGGGUGACGGCCUACCAAGGCGAUGAUCAGUGGCCGGUCUGAGAGGAUGAACGGCCACAUGGGGACUGAGACACGGCCCAAACUCCUACGGGAGGCAGCAGUGGGGAAUAUUCCGCAAUGGACGAAAGUCUGACGGAGCAACGCCGCGUGAGGGAUGAAGGUUUUCGGACUGUAAAGCUCUGUUGUUUAGGACGAAAGUGCCUGUUGCAAAUAGUUACAGGUAUUGACGGUACUGAACGAGGAAGCCACGGCUAACUACGUGCCAGCAGCCGCCGUAA